AGCGAAAUGAGGAGGCAAAAUUGUCCGAAUUUUUUCUUGUGGAGAACACAUACAUGGUCUUCAAAGUUCUCUGAUCGCU
This is a non-coding RNA of Oryza brachyantha (malo sina), 79 nucleotides long. NCBI's taxonomy places the organism in Eukaryota, Viridiplantae, Streptophyta, Magnoliopsida, Poales, Poaceae. The record is from Rfam.